ANUACAUUGGAAACAAGAUGCUAAUACCGGAUAAAAGACUACUUUCGCAUGAAAGAAGUUUAAAAGGCGGCGUAAGCUGUCGCUAAAGGAUGGACCUGCGAUGCAUUAGCUAGUUGGUAAGGUAACGGCUUACCAAGGCGAUGAUGCAUAGCCGAGUUGAGAGACUGAUCGGCCACAUUGGGACUGAGACACGGCCCAAAACUCCUACGGGAGGCAGCAGCC
RNAcentral lists this ribosomal RNA (222 nucleotides) under uncultured Lactobacillus sp. RNAcentral describes it as "partial 16S ribosomal RNA". It matches the Rfam family "Bacterial small subunit ribosomal RNA", at positions 143 to 355 of the family's 1533-position model. Lineage: Bacteria; Bacillati; Bacillota; Bacilli; Lactobacillales; Lactobacillaceae. The record is from RNAcentral.